GAAAAGAGAAAGAAAACAAAGAAAAGAAACAGAAUAGGCAAAUGAAAAGCAGGGGAAGGAAAGAAAGAAAGGAGAAAGAAAAGAAAAAGGGAGAAUUAGGGUUUGAAGGUUUGGCAAUUUAAUAGCUAAUGUUGUCUCGGGAAAUCUCGGCUAAGCAAGGAAAAAUGGCAAAGACAACGGGAGUUAGCUCGAGAAAAUACGGUUUGUAUUUCUAUAAUCCGAACUCAGUCAUUAUUUGUUAUAUUUAUAUACAUAUGACAAUUGUUAGUGUUAGAAUUAUGAUGUUUUACAAUUGAAAUGGAUUGAUUUUGGUAUGUGAUGAAUUUAUCAAAUUUAUAUUGAUUGAAA
This is a long non-coding RNA of Gossypium arboreum, 348 nucleotides long. RefSeq lists it as uncharacterized. The record is from RefSeq and is a predicted model, not a curated record. The transcript is spliced from 2 exons. NCBI's taxonomy places the organism in Eukaryota, Viridiplantae, Streptophyta, Magnoliopsida, Malvales, Malvaceae.